This is a long non-coding RNA of Anas platyrhynchos (mallard), 1029 nucleotides long. RefSeq lists it as uncharacterized. The record is from RefSeq and is a predicted model, not a curated record. NCBI's taxonomy places the organism in Eukaryota, Metazoa, Chordata, Aves, Anseriformes, Anatidae.
GAUUUUCCAGGACCUUGGCUGUAGCUAAACUAUGCCACUUUCACUAUAAAAGAGUUUGACAACAUAUUUCUAGAGUAUGGGUGUUCUGAGGAAAACAGGAAAAAAGAGAAAAUUAAUUACAUCAAGUAAUUCUAUACUUCAAAUCCAUAAUUGCAUGUAACAUCAUCAUCCAGCACUAUCGUCUGCUAUCAAAAUCAACGAAGGCUGAUUUCAAUAGGAGCACUGUCAGACUAAAGCAUGGAGCCCUUGAGUACAGUAUGUCUUGAGGGUAAGAAGAGAUUGAAGUACAGCAGAAAGUGCUUAAAUACACCAGAGAUGGGUAACCUAAAGUCCUGACCCAAGUGGCAAGCAGUCCAUUCCAGAAUGCGAGAUGUGACACAGAAGCAGGCAGACAAAACCACAACAGUAUGAAGAUGCCAAAGAUGCAGCUAAUUUUUCACAGCGUCAUCCCAUUUAUCACAGAAGAUGCAGAUGAUUAUCGCUUGUCCCAUCAAGCAGUUCUGAUCGAUUCAGUGAGCUACUAGUUGGAAGUAACGGUCUCCACUGGUCAACAAGCACUUCAGUAUUAAGAAAGAUCCUGCAAGCCAGCAACCCAUUUUCAAUACAGAAAGGCUUAAAAAGCCUUACCUUUCAGGUAGGAGACUCCACAGACAGCAUUAUCAGACUCAACAUACCUACAGCAGAGAAUCUAGAUGUGUGAGUCUAAUCAGCUAUCUUGACAAAAAGAAUGAACAAAAUUCCUCUCUCCUUACUGUAAGGUGGUUGGUUCUCAUCCGAGUAACAGUUGUUAUUUCUGUAUCUUUUCUCUUACAUGAUGUGAACUUACACUCAGUUAUAGCAAAAAAUUAAGCUGUGAGAGGACAGUUCACACUGAAGCAUGUAACACAGAAAUACAACUGCUUGUUUCAACCUGUGACAACUUUGUAUUGACUCAAAGUCACUUUAUCUGUAUAACCCAAGCAAUCUACCUGGGAAACUCCAGGAGGAAUGAACACAGUAUUUAAGUUAGGAUGACAAUUCAGUAACUGA